GACGAACGCUGGCGGCGUGCUUAACACAUGCAAGUCGAACGGAAAGGCCCUGCUUGCAGGGUACUCGAGUGGCGAACGGGUGAGUAACACGUGGGUGAUCUGCCCUGCACUUCGGGAUAAGCCUGGGAAACUGGGUCUAAUACCGGAUAGGAGCCAUUUUUAGUGUGAUGGUUGGAAAGUUUUUUCGGCGUAGGAUGAGCUCGCGGCCUAUCAGCUUGUUGGUGGGGUAAUGGCCUACCAAGGCGGCGACGGGUAGCCGGCCUGAGAGGGUGGACGGCCACAGUGGGACUGAGAUACGGCCCAGACUCCUACGGGAGGCAGCAGUGGGGAAUAUUGCACAAUGGGCGCAAGCCUGAUGCAGCGACGCCGCGUGGGGGAUGACGGCCUUCGGGUUGUAAACUCCUUUCGCUAGGGACGAAGCUUUUUGUGACGGUACCUAGAUAAGAAGCACCGGCUAACUACGUG
Molecule: ribosomal RNA, 465 nt
Filed under: uncultured bacterium
Lineage: Bacteria
Description: partial 16S ribosomal RNA
Rfam family: Bacterial small subunit ribosomal RNA
Source: RNAcentral